RNAcentral lists this ribosomal RNA (451 nucleotides) under uncultured bacterium. RNAcentral describes it as "partial 16S ribosomal RNA". It matches the Rfam family "Bacterial small subunit ribosomal RNA", at positions 28 to 507 of the family's 1533-position model. The record is from RNAcentral.
AGCGAACGCUGGCGGCAUGCCUAACACAUGCAAGUCGCACGGGGGGGCUUCGGCCUCCCAGUGGCGGACGGGUGAGGAACGCGUAGGGACCUGUCGAGGGGUGGGGGAUAACCGCGGGAAACUGCGGCUAAUACCGCAUGACGCCGCGGCGUGACAGCCGGGGCCAAAGGCGAAAGCCGCCCGCCGAGGGGCCUGCGUCCGAUUCGCUGGUUGGCGGGGUAGCGGCCCACCAAGGCGUCGAGCGGGAGCUGGUCUGAGAGGGUGAUCAGCCACACCGGGACUGGGACACGGCCCGGACUCCUACGGGAGGCAGCAGUGGGGAAUAUUGGACAAUGGGCGCAAGCCUGAUCCAGCAAUGCCGCGUGGGUGAAGAAGGUCUUCGGAUUGUAAAGCCCUUUCGGCGGGGACGAUGGUGACGGUACCCGCAGAAGAAGCCCCGGCUAACUUCGUG